Molecule: ribosomal RNA, 380 nt
Filed under: uncultured archaeon
Lineage: Archaea
Description: bacterial SSU rRNA
Rfam family: Archaeal small subunit ribosomal RNA
Source: RNAcentral
UAAAACCAGCUCCUCGAGUAGUCGGGAAAAUUACUGGGCCUAAAGCGUCCGUAGCCGGCCCUGCAAGUUCCUGGUCAAAACCAGCAGCCUAACUGUUGGCUCGCUAGGGAUACUGCGGGGCUUGGGAACGAGAGAGGCCGAGGGUACUUACGGGGUAGGGGUGAAAUCCUGUAAUCCCGUAGGGACCACCGGUGGCGAAGGCGCUCGGCUGGAACGUGUCCGACGGUGAGGGACGAAAGCCAGGGGAGCGAACCGGAUUAGAUACCCGGAUAGUCCUGGCUGUAAACGAUGCGGGCUAGGUGUUCGAGUGGUUACGAGCUGCUCGAGUGCCGUAGAGAAGUCGUUAAGCCCGCCGCCUGGGGAGUACGGCCGCAAGGCUG